Molecule: ribosomal RNA, 597 nt
Filed under: Salmonella enterica
Lineage: Bacteria; Pseudomonadati; Pseudomonadota; Gammaproteobacteria; Enterobacterales; Enterobacteriaceae
Also listed under: 4 other names
Description: partial 23S ribosomal RNA
Rfam family: Bacterial large subunit ribosomal RNA
Source: RNAcentral
UGUGACUGCGUACCUUUUGUAUAAUGGGUCAGCGACUUAUAUUCUGUAGCAAGGUUAACCGAAUAGGGGAGCCGGAGGGAAACCGAGUCUUAAUUGGGCGUUAAGUUGCAGGGUAUAGACCCGAAACCCGGUGAUCUAGCCAUGGGCAGGUUGAAGGUUGGGUAACACUAACUGGAGGACCGAACCGACUAAUGUUGAAAAAUUAGCGGAUGACCUGUGGCUGGGGGUGAAAGGCCAAUCAAACCGGGAGAUAGCUGGUUCUCCCCGAAAGCUAUUUAGGUAGCGCCUCGUGAAUUCAUCUCCGGGGGUAGAGCACUGUUUCGGCUAGGGGGCCAUCCCGGCUUACCAACCCGAUGCAAACUGCGAAUACCGGAGAAUGUUAUCACGGGAGACACACGGCGGGUGCUAACGUCCGUCGUGAAGAGGGAAACAACCCAGACCGCCAGCUAAGGUCCCAAAGUCAUGGUUAAGUGGGAAACGAUGUGGGAAGGCCCAGACAGCCAGGAUGUUGGCUUAGAAGCAGCCAUCAUUUAAAGAAAGCGUAAUAGCUCACUGGUCGAGUCGGCCUGCGCGGAAGAUGUAACGGGGCUAAACCAU